This 1396-nucleotide ribosomal RNA is filed under the name uncultured organism. RNAcentral describes it as "SSU rRNA". It matches the Rfam family "Bacterial small subunit ribosomal RNA". The record is from RNAcentral.
ACGCUAGCUACAGGCUUAACACAUGCAAGUCGAGGGGCAUCAGGAAGAAAGCUUGCUUUCUUUGCUGGCGACCGGCGCACGGGUGAGUAACACGUAUCCAACCUGCCCUUUACUCGGGGAUAGCCUUUCGAAAGAAAGAUUAAUACCCGAUAGUAUAAUGAUUCCGCAUGGUUUCAUUAUUAAAGGAUUCCGGUAAAGGAUGGGGAUGCGUUCCAUUAGGUUGUUGGUGAGGUAACGGCUCACCAAGCCUUCGAUGGAUAGGGGUUCUGAGAGGAAGGUCCCCCACAUUGGAACUGAGACACGGUCCAAACUCCUACGGGAGGCAGCAGUGAGGAAUAUUGGUCAAUGGGCGCUAGCCUGAACCAGCCAAGUAGCGUGAAGGAUGAAGGCUCUAUGGGUCGUAAACUUCUUUUAUAUAAGAAUAAAGUGCAGUAUGUAUACUGUUUUGUAUGUAUUAUAUGAAUAAGGAUCGGCUAACUCCGUGCCAGCAGCCGCGGUAAUACGGAGGAUCCGAGCGUUAUCCGGAUUUAUUGGGUUUAAAGGGAGCGUAGGUGGACUGGUAAGUCAGUUGUGAAAGUUUGCGGCUCAACCGUAAAAUUGCAGUUGAUACUGUCAGUCUUGAGUACAGUAGAGGUGGGCGGAAUUCGUGGUGUAGCGGUGAAAUGCUUAGAUAUCACGAAGAACUCCGAUUGCGAAGGCAGCUCACUGGACUGCAACUGACACUGAUGCUCGAAAGUGUGGGUAUCAAACAGGAUUAGAUACCAUGGUAGUCCACACAGUAAACGAUGAAUACUCGCUGUUUGCGAUAUACAGUAAGCGGCCAAGCGAAAGCAUUAAGUAUUCCACCUGGGGAGUACGCCGGCAACGGUGAAACUCAAAGGAAUUGACGGGGGCCCGCACAAGCGGAGGAACAUGUGGUUUAAUUCGAUGAUACGCGAGGAACCUUACCCGGGCUUAAAUUGCAGUGGAAUGAUGUGGAAACAUGUCAGUGAGCAAUCACCGCUGUGAAGGUGCUGCAUGGUUGUCGUCAGCUCGUGCCGUGAGGUGUCGGCUUAAGUGCCAUAACGAGCGCAACCCUUAUCUCUAGUUACUAACAGGUUAUGCUGAGGACUCUAGAGAGACUGCCGUCGUAAGAUGUGAGGAAGGUGGGGAUGACGUCAAAUCAGCACGGCCCUUACGUCCGGGGCUACACACGUGUUACAAUGGGGGGUACAGAAGGCAGCUAGCGGGUGACCGUAUGCUAAUCCCAAAAGCCUCUCUCAGUUCGGAUCGAAGUCUGCAACCCGACUUCGUGAAGCUGGAUUCGCUAGUAAUCGCGCAUCAGCCACGGCGCAGUGAAUACGUUCCCGGGCCUUGUACACACCGCCCGUCAAGCCAUGGGAGCCGGGGGUACCAA